RNAcentral lists this unclassified non-coding RNA (269 nucleotides) under Hevea brasiliensis (rubber tree). Lineage: Eukaryota; Viridiplantae; Streptophyta; Magnoliopsida; Malpighiales; Euphorbiaceae. The record is from RNAcentral.
AGGACAUCCAGAGUUCUCCUGAUGACAAAAAGGAGUUCCACAGUCCAUGCAGCGUGCAGAUUGUGUCGUAAGGAGCGGACCGGGUUUUGAUUCCUCCAUAACCUCUUUCCAGUCCUCCAUCCGAACAUUUGGAUCCCUGUAGGACACACCCUGUCGCUCAUAAGCAACAAAACCUCGAUGCUUGACUGCCUCAGCAACUUGGAUGGGCCUCUUCAAUGUCUGCUCCUCUUCAACCUGACUGGAUUCAUCCUUAGAUGCAGCUGCUAACU